Molecule: small RNA, 570 nt
Filed under: Pan troglodytes (chimpanzee)
Lineage: Eukaryota; Metazoa; Chordata; Mammalia; Primates; Hominidae
Description: processed transcript
Source: RNAcentral
AUUCUUCGAGUAUGCUGCUCUUGCUCUAAGACGCUCAUACAUUGGAGUCACAGCUUCGUAAAUUAAACUGGAAAUAGUUUGCAGACUUAUCAGUCUUCUGACCUGCAGCAGUGUCUCUGCUAUGUUUGAGAUUUUUGUUUUGGAUGGUGAAAGCUAGCACUCCUUACAAGACAUGACAGCAAAAGAUUCUUCAAAGGAACUUACUGCUUCUGAACCUGAGGUUUGCAUAAAGACUUUCAAGGAGCAAAUGCAUUUAGAACUUGAGCUUCCGAGAUUACCAGGAAACAGACCUACAUCUCCUAAAAUUUCUCCACGCAGUUCACCAAGGAACUCACCAUGCUUUUUCAGAAAGUUGCUGGUGAAUAAAAGCAUUCGGCAGCGUCGUCGCUUCACUGUGGCUCAUACAUGUGCAGUGAAGAACAUGCUUAUUAGUAUGGAUCCUCAUGUUCCAGAAGAGUCCUUUUUCUGAGUGCUUUGAUGUGGAAAAUGGCCCUUCCCCAGGUCGGAGUCCACUGGAUCCCCAGGCCAGCUCUUCCGCUGGGCUGGUACUUCACACCACCUUUCCUGGGC